CUGGCUGAUCAAGUAGUCGCUGAACACUGAUUUUAUCUGUGUUCAGAGGAAAGUCCGGACACCAAAGGACAGCAUAGCGGGUAACGCCCGCCUAUUUUUCGAUUGGUUCAGGCUUGCUUGAGCUUGUCGAAGGGUAAGGACUAGUGGAACAGAGACGAGCCGGUUAAGUCCGGUUGAAACGGCCAAACUCUAUGCGGUGCAAACUCAAAUAGGCUGUGAGGAGCGGUCCGCUCCGUUUGGAACGGCGGGUAGAGCGCUAGAGGUAAACAGCAAUGUUUAUCCCAGAUAAAUGACUGCUAAUACAGAAUCCGGCUUAUUCGAUCAGCCUUAAGU
RNAcentral lists this RNase P RNA (333 nucleotides) under Candidatus Margulisiibacteriota bacterium. RNAcentral describes it as "RNase P RNA component class A". It matches the Rfam family "Bacterial RNase P class A". From Rfam's summary of the family: Ribonuclease P (RNase P) is a ubiquitous endoribonuclease, found in archaea, bacteria and eukarya as well as chloroplasts and mitochondria. Its best characterised activity is the generation of mature 5'-ends of tRNAs by cleaving the 5'-leader elements of precursor-tRNAs. The record is from RNAcentral. Lineage: Bacteria; Bacillati; Candidatus Margulisiibacteriota.